GUGGAGACUGGGUUUCACCAUGUUGGCCAGGGUGGUCUCGAUCUCCUGACCUUGUGAUCUGCCUGCCUCACCUCCCAACCUGCUGGGAUUACAGGUGUGAGCAACCGCACCCGGCCUAUUUUGCAUUAUUUUGCAGUCCUUAUUUUCUCAUAUGCCACACCCAUUCUAUCACUUUCACUUUUAUCAAAUUUAACAAUCAAUUUUUUUUUUUUUUUUUUUUUUUGGAGAUGGAGUCUCACUCUGUUGCCUGGGCUGGAGUGCAGAUUGUAGUGCGUGAUCUGUCUCCCGGUUUCAAGUGAUUCUCCUGCCUCAGCCUCCUGACUAGCUGUGACUACAGGCACGUGCCACCACACCUGGCUAAUUUUUGUAACAUUAAUAGAGACAGGGUUUUGCCAGACUGGUCUCAAACUCCUGACCUCAGGUGAUCCACCUGCCUUGGCCUCUCAAAGUGCUGGGAUUACAGGCAUGAGCCACUUCACCUGGCCACAAUCACUUUUUUGAUACCUAGUUUGAGUCAAGUCCUGAGAUACUGAGUUGAUUUCAAUAAACAGUGCUUAUCCAUAAGUAUCUUACACGCUCAAGCAGAUAGACAGAUAUACAUAAGUUGCUAAAACAGUGUGAUUUGUUGUGUACUUAUGUGCAAAAGGCUUUGCAAAUAUUGAAAAGAAGCAAGAUAUUUUUCUUGGGGGAGUAGAAAAUGAUUUAUGGAAGAGAGAACAGUGGUGCCAGGGUUAAAUGAACAUAAUAGAUUUCACUGGCAAGGGAUGUAGGACAGAGCACUUAAAGUAAACCUUGCUCCUUGCUUGUCUGUUUCACAUUUUAAAUAUCCCAUUUUCUAUCCAUUUGUCCAAAAUUGGCCCAUUUCAAGUAGCAUUUCUAAAUUGGAUUUUUUUUUCCAUGCUGGUUGAUGCCUUUACCAUUCAUUUGAAAGUUUUCCUAUUCUACCUAGAGUUAGUUUUUUUUCAAGCUACAUAGCCAUCAUCUCCCCAAGACACAUUAUAUAGAAAUGUACAUAAUCACAUAUAUAUGGACAAAUGGCUCUUUCUAACUCCCUAGCCUGGGGAUUUGCAUAUGGUAGACAUUCAAACAGGUUUUGUUGAUCACAGUAAACCCAAAGUCCCAGUUUGUAUAGAGAGCCACAUCCAGAGUUGAAGACACUGAGGUUGGUAUCAUAUUUGGAAAAAAAUGCAAAAUAAAAACAAAAGGGAGCAGCAUAAAGCAAGCCAACAAAAAUAUUCCCCAUGCACGCUUGUCAUAAGCCUCACUCUCCUCAGGAAUUUUGCAGGAAUCACUGAUUCUCAUGGCUUUUGCUAUACAUCCCUCCAUAAAGAUAGAUGCUGCUGCUUCCUCCGUGUCCCUAAAGAAUUUGUCAUGGAGUUUUGAGGGACAACUGGAAACGGGGGAAGGAGCCCUCAUUUGCUAGGAUGGCCAUGACAAAGUAGGACUGACUGGGUGGCUUAAACAACAGAAAUUCAUUUUCUCGCAGUUCUGGAGGCUAGAAGUCUGAAUCACGCUGACAACAAAGUUGGUUUCUUCUGGGGCCUAUCUCCUUGGCCUUCAGAUGGACAAUGGCUCUCUGUGCCCUCACAUAGUCUUCCCUCUGUGCAUGCCUGUGCCCUGAUGUCCUCUUGUUGUAGACACCAGUCAUAUUGUUUUAAAGCUCAUUCAAAAAGCUUCAUUUUAACUUAAUUGCCUGUAAAGACCCUGUGUCCAAAUACUGUCACAUUCUGAGUUAGUGGGGGUGAGAACAUCAACAUACGAAUUUGAUGGAACACAAUUCAGCCCAUAACAGGGACUAAGAGCCCCACAGCAGGACUAGAAGAUAAAAGCAAAGCAGUGACUAGAGCCCAUGGGGGAUUGUAACAGGGACUGAGUCAGGGCCACAACUGGAGAUUCAUGGGGUUUACUGCAGUAAUUGGGAAGCAACAAAAGAAAUCCAAACACAGUGUUAGUGUUCAAACCAGAAGAGAGGGUCCCAAACUCCAUUUCAAGAGUCUCAUCUUGUAACAGGUGCCGGUCAAUCAAGGUAUUGCCAACAGUCACCUGCUGGGUAAAUAGAUGGUGAGGCUGGGUGCUGCAGUACUUCUGAUCUUGAUAACAGGCAUGGGGUACAGAGAAAUGAAGUCACUGCAUCAGGAGUUGAGGGCUUGGUAACAAUUUGCAUAUAGUAGACAUUCAAACACGGUUUGUUGAUCACAGGCUUGCGUUUAGAGCAGUGGUCGUCAAUCUUGAGGAUGCAUCAGAAUUACCUGGACGACAAGUGAGACACAGGUUACUGGGCCCCACCCAUAAAGUUUCUAAUUCAGUAGGUCCGGAGUCAGGCCUGAAAAUUUGUAUUUUUAACAGGUUUUUAGGUAACGCAGAUGCUGUUGGUCCAAGGAUCAAACUUCGAGAAUCACUGCUUUAGGUGCAAGGUUUUCAACCCUAGACAUA
Molecule: long non-coding RNA, 2433 nt
Filed under: Homo sapiens (human)
Lineage: Eukaryota; Metazoa; Chordata; Mammalia; Primates; Hominidae
Description: HSALNT0251516
Source: RNAcentral